Small nucleolar RNA from Cornus florida, 85 nucleotides. RefSeq annotates it as small nucleolar RNA snoR14. The transcript has a single exon. The record is from RefSeq and is a predicted model, not a curated record. Lineage: Eukaryota; Viridiplantae; Streptophyta; Magnoliopsida; Cornales; Cornaceae.
ACGAGGUGAUGAUGAAAUUCAUUGGUUUGUCAAUCCACUGACACGUGUGUGAUGUUAAUAAUGAAUCCCGACAGGUUCUGAUCGU